AGAGUUUGAUCCUGGCUCAGGAUGAACGCUGGCGGCGUGCCUAAUACAUGCAAGUCGAGCGAACGGACGAGAAGCUUGCUUCUCUGAUGUUAGCGGCGGACGGGUGAGUAACACGUGGAUAACCUACCUAUAAGACUGGGAUAACUUCGGGAAACCGGAGCUAAUACCGGAUAAUAUUUUGAACCGCAUGGUUCAAAAGUAAAAGACGGUCUUGCUGUCACUUAUAGAUGGAUCCGCGCUGCAUUAGCUAGUUGGUAAGGUAACGGCUUACCAAGGCAACGAUGCAUAGCCGACCUGAGAGGGUGAUCGGCCACACUGGAACUGAGACACGGUCCAGACUCCUACGGGAGGCAGCAGUAGGGAAUCUUCCGCAAUGGGCGAAAGCCUGACGGAGCAACGCCGCGUGAGUGAUGAAGGUCUUCGGAUCGUAAAACUCUGUUAUUAGGGAAGAACAUAUGUGUAAGUAACUGUGCACAUCUUGACGGUACCUAAUCAGAAAGCCACGGCUAACUACGUGCCAGCAGCCGCGGUAAUACGUAGGUGGCAAGCGUUAUCCGGAAUUAUUGGGCGUAAAGCGCGCGUAGGCGGUUUUUUAAGUCUGAUGUGAAAGCCCACGGCUCAACCGUGGAGGGUCAUUGGAAACUGGAAAACUUGAGUGCAGAAGAGGAAAGUGGAAUUCCAUGUGUAGCGGUGAAAUGCGCAGAGAUAUGGAGGAACACCAGUGGCGAAGGCGACUUUCUGGUCUGUAACUGACGCUGAUGUGCGAAAGCGUGGGGAUCAAACAGGAUUAGAUACCCUGGUAGUCCACGCCGUAAACGAUGAGUGCUAAGUGUUAGGGGGUUUCCGCCCCUUAGUGCUGCAGCUAACGCAUUAAGCACUCCGCCUGGGGAGUACGACCGCAAGGUUGAAACUCAAAGGAAUUGACGGGGACCCGCACAAGCGGUGGAGCAUGUGGUUUAAUUCGAAGCAACGCGAAGAACCUUACCAAAUCUUGACAUCCUUUGACAACUCUAGAGAUAGAGCCUUCCCCUUCGGGGGACAAAGUGACAGGUGGUGCAUGGUUGUCGUCAGCUCGUGUCGUGAGAUGUUGGGUUAAGUCCCGCAACGAGCGCAACCCUUAAGCUUAGUUGCCAUCAUUAAGUUGGGCACUCUAAGUUGACUGCCGGUGACAAACCGGAGGAAGGUGGGGAUGACGUCAAAUCAUCAUGCCCCUUAUGAUUUGGGCUACACACGUGCUACAAUGGACAAUACAAAGGGCAGCGAAACCGCGAGGUCAAGCAAAUCCCAUAAAGUUGUUCUCAGUUCGGAUUGUAGUCUGCAACUCGACUACAUGAAGCUGGAAUCGCUAGUAAUCGUAGAUCAGCAUGCUACGGUGAAUACGUUCCCGGGUCUUGUACACACCGCCCGUCACACCACGAGAGUUUGUAACACCCGAAGCCGGUGGAGUAACCUUUUAGGAGCUAGCCGUCGAAGGU
Molecule: ribosomal RNA, 1475 nt
Filed under: Staphylococcus aureus DAR1065
Lineage: Bacteria; Bacillati; Bacillota; Bacilli; Caryophanales; Staphylococcaceae
Description: bacterial SSU rRNA
Rfam family: Bacterial small subunit ribosomal RNA
Source: RNAcentral